UUUUUUUUUUGCUUUUUUCAUUUUUUAUUUUUCUUUUUCUUUCUUUUUUUCGUUUUUCUUUUUUUUCUUUAUUCUGUUUCCUUUUCUUUCCUUUUCAAUAACACUUUUAGGUUCCAAAUAUGGUAGUCAAAGAUUCGUAACUGGAUCAAAGGAUUUGCAAAAGGUUGAUAGUGUUUGGGUAGCGAGAAUAAAAGCCCUCGACAUCCCAAUAGGAUAGAGUUAUUUGUAGAAAGCCUACAAAUAGUGCCUUUUUACUGCAUCUGCAUUCACAGUUGCUUCGGGAUCAUUUCCUUCGGCAUCUUCCAAGUAUAGUGCCCCUCUUAGAAACACAUUUCUAAUGAUAUAUGGGCAUUUCCAAUUAGGAGUGAAUUUUCCUUUCGCUUCCUGAUGAUAGGGAAGAAUGAGCCUUAUCACGAGUUGCCCCACUUUAAAAUUCCUGGGCUGCACUUUCUUGUUGUAGGCACGGGCCAUUCUUUGUUAGUAAAACUACCCGUGACAGACCACAGCCAUCUACUUUUCAUCAAUCAGUGCCAACUAUUCCAGACGGUUCUUGACCCACUCACUGUCUUCAAUUUCAACUUCAACAAUGGCCGGAGAGAAGGGAUUUCGACUUCUGUAGGUAUUACAGCUUUAGUGCCAUAGACCAAGAGGUAUGGGGUUGCUCCGAGCGAUGUGCGCACUGUAGUACAAUCUCCCAGCAGUGCAAAUGGCAGCCUUUCAUGCCACUGCCUUGAGCUUUGAAUCAUCUUUCUCAAAAUCUUUUUGAUGUUUUUGUUUGCUACGUUGACGACACCAUUGGCUUUAGGCCGAUAAGGAGUGGAGUUUCAAUGCUUUAUUUUGAAUUGUUCACAUUUCUCCUCCAUUAAAUGACUAUUCAAGUUUGCCGCAUUAUCUGUGUUGAUAGUUGCAGGAAUACUAAAACGGCAGAUAAGAUUGGAGUGCACGAAAUCUACCACAGCUUUCUUGGUGACAAAUUUGAGAGUGGUGGCUUCAACCCAUUUUGUGAAGUAGUUAAUGGAAACUAGUAUGAAUCUGUGACCAUUUGAGGCUUUGGUUUUGAUUGGCCCAAUGACAUCCAUGCCCCAGGAUAAGGUAUUGAGAUAGGAUGCAGUUCUGUGGGCGGUGCAUGAAUCAAAUCACCGUGCACCUGACAUUGAUGAUACUUCCGGAUAAAGCUGAAACAGUCUUUUUCCAUAAUUAUCUAAUAGUAGCCUAGUCGAAGGAUUUUCUUUGCCAAAACAUACCCGUUCACGAGGGGCCCGCAUACUCCUGCAUGCACUUUAUACAUGGUUCUUCCAUCCUCAUUUGUGUCAACACAUCUUAAAAAUUUGAGGUUCGGAGUCCUUUUGUACAAGAUAUCACCACUAAAAAAAACCACUUGCGUGCCGUCUAAUGGUUCACUUUUGGUCCCCACUGGCUUGCUUGGGGUAUUCUUUUGUUUUUAGAAAUCUUUUGAUUUCAUGAUACCAUGGCUGACUAUUUGGUUCUGCUUCAAAUGUGUUACAGUAACCAUGUCUUUCUCGAAUUUGGAUUUCCAGGGGAUCUAUGUGAGCAUUACAGGGGUAUGGCAGCAUUGAAACCAAGUUAGCAAGUGCAUCAGCCAGUUCAUUGUGGCAAUGAGGGAUGUACCUGAACUCUAUUGACUUGAAAAUCCUGCUAAGGUCUUCCAUAUGUUGCCUGUAAAGGAUAAGCUUGACAUCUCAGGUUUUCCAUUCUCUCUGAGUUUGCCGGAUAAUCAGAUUCGAAUCCCCUAUGAUUAACAAUUCUUCGAUAUCCUGGUCGAUUGCCAUAUUUAUACCCAUAAUGUAGGCUUCAUACUCGGCAGUGUUGUUUGUGUAGAAAUACCGAAGCUGGGUUGUGGCUGGGUAAUGAUGACCAGUGGGUGAGAUCAAAACUGCACCGAUUCUUACACCGUUCGCGUUUACCGCUCAAUCAAAAAACAUUUUCCAACUGGUAGUAUCCUUGAAUAUUUCCUCGACUGAAUUUACAUCUUUAUCCGGGAAGUAAGUGCUCAAAGAUUGGUAUUCAUCAUUAACCGGGUUAUUUGCCAAAUGAUCUGCCAAGCCUGUGCUUUCAUUGUCGUGCAAAGCAGGAUUUGCCAUUUUGCUAACCUUCCCAUGGGCAUUGGUUUCUGGAAUAUGUAUUUCAAAGGAUCCAACCUGGUUAUGAGGUAAGUGGUGUAGGCUUGCAAUAAUGUCUCAACUUCUGAGCCACCCAAGUUAAAGCACAACAGGUUCUUUCCAAUAAAGUGUACUUAACUUCAUAACUGGUGAACUUUUUACUCAAAUAGUAUAUUGUCUGCUCUUUCUUUCUGGUCAUAUCAUGUUGCCCGAGGACACAACCAAAAGAAUUCUCCAAGGCUGUAUACAAGAACAGGUGGGACCAGGAUUAGUGGGUUGGACAGAUAUUCUUCGAUUUUAUCAAAAGCUUCCUGACAUUCAUUGUCGAUUUGAUUGCCGCAUCUUUCUUCAUCAAUUUGAAUAUGGGUUCACACAUGGAUGUCAACUGAGCAAUGAACCGGCUGAUAUAGUUCAAUCUGCCUAAUAAAUUCAUCACAUCUUUCUUGUUUCUCGGAUGAGGUAAAUCCUGAAUAAAAUUAAUCUUUGUUGGAUCUAAGUCAAUACCUCUCCGGCUGACUAUAAAGCCAAGAAGUUUGCUCGAUGGGACACCUAAUGCACAUUUAUGCAACCGUUCAAAGAAUUUCCUCAAGUCCCGAAUGUGGUCAUCCUGGGCUUUGGACUUGAUGAGUAUAUCAUCCACAUACACCUCUAUUUCUUGGUGCAUCAUAUCAUGAAAAAUAGCAGUCAUAACCCUCAUGUAGUUUGCCCCCGCAUUCUUCAGACCAAAUGGCAUAACCCUAUAGUAGUAUGUCCCACAACGUGUGGUAAAAGCUGUCUUUUCUGCAUCUUCUUCAUCCAUCAACACCUAGUGAUAUCCUGCAUAACAAUCCACAAUGGACUAUAUCUCAUGUUUGGCGUAGUUAUCAACAAGGAUAUGGAUGUUUGGCAAAGGGAAGUUAUCUUUGGGACUUGCUUUGUUUAGAUCUCUGUAAUCCACACACACUCGGGUCUUCCUAUCUUUCUUUGGCACUGGAACGACAUUGGCUAGCCAUGUGGUGUAGGGAACUGCUCGCAUCACCCCUGCUUUCAAUUGUUUUGUGACUUCUUCUUUGAUCUUGUCUGUAACAUCAGUUUUAAACUUUCUUUUCUUUUGCUGGACAAGGGGGUAAUCGGGGUAAGUUGUCAAAUUAUGGACCACCAAAUCAACACUUAGUCCUGGCAUGCAAUCAUAUGACCAAACAAACACAUCUUUGAACUCAAACAAGAGUUGGAUUAAUGCAUCUCGGGUUUUUUUGUCUAUGUGAAUGCUUAUCUUGAUUUCUCUGAUUUCUUUAGAAUUUCCCAAAUUAACCGGCUCAGUGUGAUCUAAGUUUGGCUUAGGUUUACUCAGAAAUUAUAUUAGUUCUCGAUUUAUUUUCCUAAAAGCCUCUUCUUCAUUAUAUUCCGGUUCUUAGUUCAUUAUCUCAUAGUUGGACAACGUGUUUGGAUCUGGGCAUGAAGUCCGCAAGCAUGUCAUGUUAUUUAAAGCCACAUUAUUAGAACUAAAAGAGGAGAUAAAAAUAAAUAUUUCAUUUCAUUGAAUUUGGAAGAUAACGAGGUUUACAUGGGAAAUAAAAAUAUAUGAAACUAAAGAAAACAUCCGAGUUACACUUUGGAAUAACUCGUAAUGCAAAAGUGACGGGACAGUUCUACCAGGGCUCCCGCCUAAUUGGAAAUGGUGUAGCCUUCUAAUUUAUAGUUUGGCCUCAAGUCCCAUGUAUAGCACCUAAGCAAUGCUUGAGACUUCCCCUGUCUGGACCAUGUGGGUUUCAUAUAGUAUCUUCCUCAUUGCCCCACAGAUCUCAUCAAUUUCUUCGAUCGUAAAGUCCUCAUCUUCUUCUUCUUUAUUGUAUUUGGGCUUGACAAAUGUUCUAUACAAAUAUGGCACUGGCUAAGGCAAGACCUAUCUAUCAUUCCUUCUACCAUCUGCCUAUUUUAUAUCAGCUGGCAUGGACCAGAAGCCUACCCCAAAGAAAUUUUCCCUGGCAGUAAGGGUGAUAAGUUCAGCUAUUCCUUGCAAUGAUUUCCCGAGCCCCUUCCCAGGUUUGAAGCCAUGCCUGAUCAUUUCCUUGGAAACCAUGAAUAAUCCAUUUGAAAGGAAGGGUUGAGGAAAAGGGUUUCCUUCUUCGCACUGGUCUGCGACCACGAUCUCAAAAUCCUGAUAGACUAUGUGUUCACUCCCCUCUCUUGCUUCAAGACACGGGACCGAUGGCUUCCGAUAAAUUGAUUGCUCAUCUUCCCCCUGGACCACAAUCUCUUGAUCCUCAUGCUCAAAUUUCACUAUCUGGUGGAGAGUAGAAGGCACAGCCCCCGCUGCAUGAAUCCAAAGUCUCACUAAAAAAAAGUUGUAGGAAGUGUUCAUGUCCAAAAACCUGGAAGUUUACUUCGAAGUCUAUUGGGCCGAUACUUAGGAUCAGAUCAAUCUCUCCUAUUGUGUCCCUUUUUAUGCCAUCAAAGGCAUGUACACAAACAUUUUUGGGUUGGAUUCUCGCAGUACCAAUUUCCAUACGUUGCAGAGUUGAGAGUGGGAAAAUAUCUACCCCAGAUCCACCAUCUAACAUAACCCUUUUCACAUAGUACCAUUUUCAUUUGACUGUCAGGUGAAGGGCUUUGUUGUGCGGCCUUUUCUGGGGGGAAAAUCAUAUUUACUGAAGGAGAUUUGGUUGAUUGCGAGAAAUCAUUCUACCAUUCUCUCCAACUGCUCUCCAGUGGUUUCAAUAGGCACAUAUGCUUCGUUGAGGGUCUUGAUCAAUACCUUUUGAUGUUCAGUGGAGUUCAUCAACAGAGAUAAUAGAGAAACCUGAGCGGGAGACUUUCAAAGCUCGUCGAUUAUCUCAUAAUCUGCCAUUUUCAUCUUUUGAAAGAAUGCCUCUACUUCUUCAGAACUCACCAGCUUCUUAGGCGGGAAACGCUUUCUAGCGGCAUUGUUCACCUCUUCUAAAUUGAAAUACUUCCCAAUUGGGUUGUUUUCUUGAACUUCUUGCCAGAUUUCUUUGCCUUUGUAGGUCACUGCUGAUUUGUUAUAGUUCCAGGGUACAACGGUAGGAUCUGUCAUGGGCUGUUAUGGUGCGCGACCGAUAACCACGGGCUCACUCAGCCUUGGUGGAUUUAUUGGCUCCCGCAUCACAUAAGUCCCCAUGGGCACAUACAUUUGGACUGUCUUGUUUAGCUCGAAUCUCCUAGGAGUACUUAAUGACAUCUAUUUUUCUUUGCAGCCUUGAGGGACAUAGAGAAUAGCAUCUUUGGGGGGCGGUUCCCUGGUUUUAACUUCUAUUUUCUUCUCCAACUUCUAAGGGGUGUUUUUAUUCUUUUUCUCCUCCUUGUAUUGCUUUGGAGCAACCUUUGGGUUCUUUUCUACAUCAGCUAUGGCAAUGAUGGCCUUCAACAUUGGGUUAAACUUCUUAUCCUCACAAAUCAUUCUAAUUACCGGCCCGUUCUUGUAGGCCGGUAAUGGGUUGUUGGUUACAUUGGGAAUAUCUUCAUCUCUCAGCACUAUUUUCCUUUGUUCUAUCAAGUUCUCCACAGCUCUCUUCAGAGUCCAACAAUCAUCUAAUUCAUUUCCUUCUACCUCUGAUUGGUAGGCGCAUUGGGCACCAGCUCUAUAAGUCAGCGGUGUCGGGUUCUUCCAGGUUUUGGGAACAAGCUGCAGCAAACCCAUUUGAACAAGUUUUGGUAACAGGCUGGAGUAAGAUUCACCAAUAGGAGUGAAAUUUGGCCUCUUGGGUGGUUCACUAGUGUGGAAAUUGUUUUGUAAAGGUCGGGGUUUGUAGUGAGUUUUGUAAGGAGGUUGGUUUUGUAGGAAAUAGAGCUUGGUUUCGAUUGGCUUAUUAUUGUGACCGGACAUAAGGUGAGCAUUCGUUACAGUGUAUAGAUGAGGAGUAUAGGCCACAUCUUUGUGGGGGUAAGUGUUGCAGGGUUCUUUUAGAGAAAAUAGAUCUGGGAGUAUGGUGCUUUCUUGACCUCGAAGCUGGCAUUGAUGUUUUUUCCUUUUUAUUUCUAUUUGAUACUCCUCUAGACGCACCCUGGAUGGCUUGUUAGGAAGACCUAAUAGCAUAUUGGCUCAAAAUUUGACCUGUUUUCAACCCAUUUUCAACCAAUUCUCCAAUAUUGAUAGCCUCAGCAAACGUCUUACCCAUUGCAGACAUCGUGUUUUGGAAGUAAUCAGCCUCUUGGGCUUGGAGGAAAACCAUGACCAUUUCGAUCUCAUCCAUCAGAGGCUUUACCCUGGAGGCCUGCUCACGCCAUUUAACAGCAUACUCUCGGAAGAUUUCCGAGGAUUUGUUACUAUUCGGAGCAAUAUCAAUGUUGUACUGAAACCGCCUGACGAAAUAUCGAGCAAGAUCAUCCCAGAUAUGCCAGUGGGAUAUAUCUUGGUCCAUGUACCUCUCGGACGUGAUGCCAACUAAACUUUCUCCAAAGUAGGCCAUAAGGAAUUCUUCCUUUCCACUUGCUCCUCGCAGCUGGUUGCAAUAUCUUUUGAGAUGGGCAAUAAGAUCACCAUGCCCAUCAUACUUCUCAAAUUUUGGGGUUUUAAAUCCCAAUGGUAGAUGCACAUGAGAAAAUAUACAUAGGUCAGCAUAAGAUGCACUUUUCUGUCCACUCAAGCCUUGUAUGCUUUUAAGACUAUUCCAUACUCCUCAUCUUUCUCGCAAUCUCUUCUUGCUCAGGAGUUUUGGCGGCCCUUUCUUGACUCGCGAUGAACUCAUACCGGGGUGGUUGAGAGUAUGUGUCGGAGGGAAACUAUGUGGUUCCACUGGGAAGGAGGGUGUUUGGAAGGUGAAAGAUGAUCGUUCAAAGCUAGGCUUGGGCAGUGUAGCAUGUGCCAUAGCCGAGCAAGAUGGGGCGGUGAAGAUAUUUGAAGCUGCACCGGACAUUAAUACUUGGGGGCGAACCUCGGAAGGUGUUCCCACAAAAUGAGCUGAGAUAGUAUGGUAUCCUAACGGUGUAUUUGGGUGACUAAUUGGGACAUUAGAGAUACCGCUUUCCCUAGGAAAGAGUUCAGAGAAUCCCGGGAUUGCGCUGUGGGCUCUUUUCCAUUUGCCCAACCGUACCAUAUUUCCAUAAUACGGAGAUGCCAGAUUCAGUUUUCUUCGGCAGCUGCCGAUUCUAAUGUUGGGAUGCCUAAAUUGGACUAUCCUCCAUGACGGGAAUUGUUGGCAGAGUCACUUCAGAAGACAUUUCAAUGCUUUCUUUCGAUCUUGUAAAGAAUGGGUGCAAAUCCAUAUUACCACAAAAAUCAACCACCAUACUAUAUAAACUUGGACUGGGAUCACAACAACAAAACGGUUAGUUUAAAACAAAUACCACAUAGGUAUUCGCACGUUGGGGUGUGAUGCACCUAUGCAGUUAAAUGUGUUUCUACAUUUUUUGCAACGGUUUCAUGUUCCAUCCUGACUUUUCCAAUUCUUCUUCUUUCCACUUUCAAACUUCCACUCUUUCCCUUUUAUCUCUUUCUUAUUUUUCUUCUUUUUUUGCUUUUCUUCUAUCAUUUUUUUCUUUUUCUUAUUUGAAUUAUUCACAAAUUUAUGACCGGAUCUGAUGAGGAUUGCCUAGGUAUCACGACACUGCAUGAAUCAGAUCGUUACAUAGUUCUAGAAAAAGUAAGUGCAAAAAAUAAAGAAAUAAUUUUUGGGAAACUUGGAAUGUAAAACUAUGAAUAGACUCAAAAUAAACCAAAAUACAGACUCGAUAAAUGAAAAAUCAGGAAUACAUUAAAGCUUCAACUCCUCGGGCCCAUGGGACAUAAUUCGGUCUCGCCAUGGGCCUACGUGCGAGAUCCCCUUGUAACCACUCCAAAUCACGCAUUAUCUGGCGGACGAAUGUCAUCACUGCAACCAACAAGGUGGUUCGAGUCACAUUCUCACAUUCUUGGCAUUUUGCGACGAUGUAUUCGACAAUAGCUCUAACAACCUCUCGGAUCCUACCAUUUUCUUGAAGUAGACGCCCGAUUUGUUGACUCCUGGAUUCUAACACCUGAGUGUCACGAUGGUUUAGAUUUUGCAGCUGUUGCAUUUCCUCCUCCAUCUGAUCCAUCAGAGCAUAACAAUGUUCCCUAGCAGCUUUAAAGUCGUUGCUUGCUUAGUCACCUCGUUCUCAAGGGUGGUUAACUUUCUUCUCAUAUUGGUGAUUGUCCCUUCAUAUUUUCUCUUCAUUUGUUGCACAAAUUGUGUCCUCCCUUCUGCAUUCUUAGCCAAUUGGGCCCAGACUUUUGCUAGAUUGGCUUCAGAGUUUUCUAGAUCAUCUUGACUCUCAAGGGCUUUCUUUCUCAAAUUGCUUAAUCCUUUCAUCUUCUCGGCUUCUUUUCGGGUUUCUGACUGCUAUUCUUAUUUUCUGGAUUUGAGCUUUGAGUACUUCAUAUUCUUGAGUUAGCUUUUUAUUUUCUCCUUCGUCUACGGCAGCUUGGAUACUCUUGGAAAAUUCGAAAUCCCUGAUUUGUUCUUCUAACUUACUAAUUUGGCCCUGUAGCUUUCUUCUUUUGACGACCAGCCCCCAGUUUUUAUGAGUCGUUAGUGAAUUGUUGAAUGUGGGCUCUCUUAGCGGAUCUCUUAGGAAUCUAAAACCUUUUGCUGAACUAAACAAUGUACUUGGGGUCCACCUCACCUCUAGCUAUAUCUCACAUCAUAGUCUUAGGUUCGAGAAAUCAGCAUUUAUUCCACACCUGGCGAAUUCUUCCUUCUGGAAAUACGACAUUUGGUUCCAAUUCGAUGACAUGUCUACUAAAAUCUUCGUCAUGGGGAAUGGUUUGAAAUCGACCCAGCUGGUGCAAAACCCUAUGAGAAGCAUAUGGUUGGAUACUCUGGAUGCCAAUUAGGAGAAGAUAACACACUUCGGCAUACUGCUUCGGUGAUAGGAAGCCAUCCGAAAGCCCACUCAAUUUAUUGGCAAUCAAAGAGCUCAAGUGUGCAAACCAAGCCUCAAUACCAUCGAAGAAGUCAACACCCACUAAUUGACUUUCAAAUUAUUCAACGCAACUUAAAAUGGUCAUAUAGUAAUUCCUAUACCCAACUCGGUGGAAGAGAUGCUCCUGUAUCCAUAAUUAUAGUAACAGAUUGCAGCCUUGGAAGAAUUUUCGCCCUUCUCAAAAAUUGGUUAAGGCUUGCUAAAUUUCAGAUAAGAUCAGGGGAACCACAGUGCCAUUAGCUUUCUUGAUUGGAUCAUCAACCAUUCCCAUGAAACCCACUUCUAUAUUACCAUCUUCUUGCGGACAGAUUACAAUACCCAAGAAUGCUGCUACAAAAGCCAAACCACGCCUUGCCUCCCAUUUAUCUUUAUUUUCGGCAUGGUUCAAACCAGUAUUCGGUGCUUCAAAACCUUGAGGGUUACUAGAACGUUGAUACAAGAACUGGAAAGUACAAUAUCCUUCAGAAAAAUUUCCAUCCUGAAUAUCCCAACUAAUACUUAGCAGAUCCGGAAAAUUGGUAGGGAGAUACUGAUUUUGGCGACACUGGGUAUCGACUUCUAAGGUUUCCGUUAAGGCCAGCAUAACCUGCAAUUUCCUCUAGUGUGGGUGUGAGCUCGAAGUCAGAAAACAAGAAAACAUUGUGAGUUGGAUCCCAAAAAGGUAUUAAGGCUUCGAUAAUGUCCAACCUUGGCUUGAUGUUCAAAAGUCUGAUGAGACCACCCAAAACCUUUACCAGAGUUUCUCUACUACCUUUUCCUAAUAAUUUCACUACAUAUGAAGCAGUAAGGGGACCUCUUUAAGAGUUGUGAAGGAUUCGUUUUCAUUUGUGCUCAUCUUGCACAUUUAUUAAGGUGAUUUAAUAACUUAGUUUGACUCAAAAACAAAAAGGGAAGACUAUUUUUUUUUCAAAAUUUUAAUUCAAAAUAAAAUCCACUUUUGAAAUACGGCCUUUCAGCACUUCGAGAAAGAAGAUGUUAAGGUUGUGCCUGCUGACUGGCUAAAAAUUUUAAAAAACAACCAAAGGUGGUUGUUCUCACAAAACGGCCUUUCGGCUACCUUUUUAGUACAUUCGGCUUGUUUUAAAGAAGAAUGGCAUCAUCCUGUUUAUUUGUGAUAAAAAUAAAAUUUUUAUUCUUUCUGGGCUAUUUUUGCAAUAGGGAAGUUGGACCCCAUGGGGGUUGCCUAUGUAUCCCACAUCCGAUGAGAAUCAAACUAGCGUAGUUCGGGAAAUUUUAAUAAAAACAACUAUUUUUUGAAAACAAAAUUUUCUUCUUUUUCAAUUUUUUUUUCAAGAACUCAACAUAGUUUCAGUAUGUUUUGGACAUUGGUUUUUUCAAAAGCGGAUAAUUAUUCCUCUUAACCCUCAUACUAUUAUUUUCUUUUACCACUUUUUUUCUAUCAUUCACAAGCCGGUCAACAUGACAAUUUGAAGCAAAUAAAUGCACAAGUAGCAAGUAGGAUGCAUCAGGAUGGUCUUUUCAUUUCAGGUACCGGUAUAUUUUUGAAAACUGGUUUUUUCAAAAAUAAGCAAUUAUCUCUCUUAACCCUCACAUUGAAUUUUCUUUUCCCAACUUUCAUUUUUUCCAACAAGCCGGUCAACAUGAAAAUUCGAAGCAAAUAAAUGCACUAGUAGCAAGUAAGAUGCAUCAGGAUGGUCAUUUCAUUUCGGGUACACCUGUUUUAGACAGACCCAACCCCUAUGUUGAGUCUCCUAAGUCAAAUGCACGUGAUGCAAAUAAACGUUCCUACUAGGGAUUCAGCAUGAGAUUUUAUUAUACUAGGUUUAAAACCUAGGUAUAUUAUUCUAGACCUGGCUUACCCGAGCGGAAAACUCGAGCCGGGGAGGGGGAGGGGCAGCGUACCCGGAAUAUAAAAGCUUCACCAGCUUUGCAGCUUAUCCAAAUCUCAUUCUAAAGUUUGGGAUAAGACUCUAACAAAAAAGAAGUUACACGAAGUGCACACUUCCCAGAUGAUUUAGAAGACUCAGAGAGAAGAAGGAUUUCAUAGCACUUUAUAUACAGUUCACAAAAUAUUAAAGCAAUAAAAGCAUUUAGCACAUUAAACUCAAACACGUAGGAAAAUCAGAUAAUAAAUAAGGCCAAUCACAACAGCUAUUCUGAGCUCGAAUUCUUAAACCAUGAACCAAUGUUCUGGGUUUGUGUCCCCAGCACAGUCGGUAGAGCUGUCACACCUCGAUUUUUACACACCAUCCCGAAAGGUAGUGUAUAAGGGAGUUUUUCCAAUUUAAAUGAUAUUAUUCGAAAUGAGAUUAUUUAUUUAUUUUUUGUUUAGAGUCGCUACUUGGGAUGGUUUGUUUUUUGGUGUCCCAAGUCACUGGUUUAUUUUAAAUCCCAAAUUGAGGAAAUUUCGACUUUUCUUAUGAGAUAUGCGAACUAGAAAUUCUAAAUAAGGAAUUUUGUUAAUCCCGGAGAACGUGUUAGGUACCCUCGUAUUCUAUGGUUCUAGGGUGGCCGCUUAAAUUAUUGCAAGUGGCCUACUAUCUGAUUUUAAUACAUAUUUUAACCUUAUUAAACUACCUUUAAUUAAUUUUUCGUAAAUUUUCAACGUCAUCUAAAAUGCAUUUUUGGACCACGCUACAUGAAAUGCACCCGCAGUCCGGGACACAUUUUAUUUAACAUUGUGAGAUUUGGAUUUGGGUCACAUGAAAUUCACAUCCGAGUUUAGGAAGGUAAAUUAUUAAAGUAAUGCGCCUAUAGCAACUACGCAUUUUUAACUUUACGAGGGCCAUGGAAAAUUUGUUAAAUGGCACACCUCGAGUUCUAAGGAUUUUAAAAGAAAUAAUUAAAUGAGGGCCAUGCAUUUGAGAUUUUAUUUGGCGCUGCGCACCUUGAUUCCAAUUUUAAAAAUGGAAUUCCAAUUAAAUUUCGAAGUGUCACAAACUAUUUGUGUUAUCUAAUAUUGCUCACCUCCAUUAUUUGAAGAAAUUUAAUUAUCCUAACAUUAAUAGUCUUGGGAUUCUAUUGCUGCCUAAGCUAAAAACGACAUUACAACUUGAAAGAAAGGCUGAUUAUUUGGCGCGACUCACCUCGAUUCCAAUUUAAAAAAGGUAAUUCAAAUUAAAUUUUGAAGGGCCAUAAAUUAUUUUUGUUAUCUAAUAUGGCUCUCCUUCACUAUUUAAAGAAAUUUAAUUAUCUUAACAUUAAUGGGGUUGGGAUUCUGUGGCUGGCUGAGCUAACUAAAUACGACAUUACAACUAGAAAGAAAUGCUGAUUAUUGAAAAGCUAUUUGGGCUGGACAUAAGGCCCAAUAGCCUAUGAAAUGCAAGGCUGUCCCAGAUCAAUAAUUUCAUAGUAGAAUCACGUUGGGCUUUAAUGAGGGCCCAAAUUGGGGAAUAAAUCGGCUCCAGCAAGUUAGAGACUCAAGAUCGAGUCUUACAUGGCACAAAGCGUAAGGCAUUUGAAGGUGUUAGUCACAUUGUUGCAUGAAAGUCCAAAGCAAAUACUGAUCCUCCCUUCACAAAAGCCAUAGCAUAUUUAAAAUUGAUUUAUAUAAGAAAAUACAAUCAGACAGUAGUCCCCUUUUUGUCAUCUAGCAUUCAGUAUCAUUCUCAGCAUGCAUAGUAUCACAACAACAGAACGUGAGAAAUAUCUGCUAUUUGAUACUCAUACAUGAAUCUAUAUUUCAACCUAAAAAGUGGACAAAACUAAAAUCAGAAAUUUAAACUAAAUAUACCACUGAUCUCGACUGCACUAACACAGAUGUGGCACUUAUACUUUGAUUGAAAAUAUUCAGAUUCUAACUCAUGCAAACCAAGGGAGCUAAGCCCAUAAUUUACUCCACUAGCACAAACGAAUUCAAUAGCAAGAACAAAGAUGAGUACACAAGAACAGAAUCCAACACCUGAUUACAAAAUCCAAAAAAACACAAGAAAGCAGCAUUCACUAACUCAACAUGAUAUGGAUUUCAAUUACAGCCCAUUCUUUGAUAAAUACAUUAAUCAGAAUCCAACUGUUACAUGCUAAUCAUGAAAUUGAAAGAAAAAGAGAUGAAGUUAAAAAACAACAUCACAUUUCAUCCCAUUUUAAACUCAUGAUUCAAGUUACACAUCAAGUGAUAUCCAUAGGGCUGAAGAAUACCUGAAAAUAAGAGAAAAAGAGGUGGAGAAAGCAGUAAACAACAACAGCAAAAGCACAUUAGUACAGAUGCAACAAUGAUCCCCAGUAGCUUGAAACCCAGACUUUAAAAGGCUAAAUUCAAUCCAUUUCCACACUCAAAUGAGUCAAAAUUGUUUCAGAGAUUAAAAAAAUAAAACAUCACUGAAGAAAUUCAAUGAAACGGUAAAAAGUCCAAUCGUUCGAAUUUUCUGGAUUUUUCUUUCAAAGUCUCCUCUAAAUCCCUAAAAUAUGCCUUGAUUGUGAAGAAACAAUGCCCUUUAUAGGGAGUCUUAGGGCAGCCUUAAGGGUUAAGUUUUUGCACUUUGCCCUUUUCUAAUUUUGGUUGUUGCUACUUAAUCCCUGAAAUUUUCACUUGCUUGCCAAGUAAGGUUGCCUUUCAGCUUCUAGGAAGCUUCCUAGGCAGUUAUUAGAGAUUCCUUCUCCUAAAUUCCUAGACUACCUUAAACUUCUUCUUUUUACUUUCAAGAAGUCACUCUAGGGUCAAGUUAACCCAGGACCCCACCCAACCCAUGGGCUUAUAUAAUAACAACCCAGAUUGAUUCUCAAACCAUCAAGGCAUGGACUCAAACAGAAAUUUCAGCACACAAACCCUGAAUUGAAACAAUGGACUUCAAAAGAACACUCGAAAACAAUAGCUUGUAAACAAAUACCCUUAACUAACUAGGCCUAUUAUUGACCAAAAGAGAUAGUCGAUGAGAAAUUAAAUCAAAUAUAUUAUUAUGUUAACUAUUAAACACAAACUAGACCUUAAUUUAACAAAACUGGAGACCUAAUGACCUAAUGGAAAACUUAUGAUUUCAAAGCUAAAAUAAUUGACUAAAAUAACACUAGUUAAACCAUUUCAAUUUCCAGUCUAAAGAAAAACAGAGAGAGUAGAAGAAGAUGAUGAAAGAGGACGGUGAGAAGAUAGAAGAAAAGAAAAAAAGGAAUUGAGUAGCUAACCAAGACUGUCUGGCUGUUCGACUAGACCCGUAUUCUUCGAUUUAAAUCCAAUAAGAGAUGUUAAAUGAAUGUUCCCCUUUGAGAACAAAAAAGGAACACCUUUUUCCGGCUCAAACCAUUUUAGAAACUCAUGCAUGCCCGCCCAGAUUUGACCUUGUGAGGUUUGAGGAGGAUUUGAUUUUCAGAUUUAAGAUUCGACGAGAUAGGGGCUGGAGAUUUGGGAUGAGGGGACGAAGAGGGUUUUAGGGUGUUAUUUUUGUGGUGGUUGGUAGCGGCGCCGCCGCCGGAGAAAACAAGGGUUGCGCAAGGGUUUCGCCCUUUGGUCCAAAAUUUGAGAGGUUUCAGAUGAAUUUGAGGAACGUUCUUUAGAUAUUUUGGAUGAGGAGGCAGAGAGGAAUAAAUGGUAUAGUUUUGGGGGUGAUUGGCCACCAGCCACCGCCGUGGGCUAUUUUUGGUGGGCAACGGACAGUGGCUUUAGGAUGGCGUUAGGUUGGUCUCUAAGGAUGUGUGAGAGACGAUGGGGGGUGUAGGUGAACGUUUAGACAUAUAUAUGUUAAUAGAUGGUUCAGUUCUAAACCGUUAGAUUAAUGAGAUCCAGUGGUCGAGAUUAAAAAGGGAAAAUAGGGUCAUUUGGAGAGUAAGGGGAGGAGGACCAGGUUUAAAUGUGGGUCUGGGACGG
This 14757-nucleotide long non-coding RNA is filed under the name Nicotiana benthamiana. RNAcentral describes it as "long non-coding RNA (NBEN_LNC035407)". Lineage: Eukaryota; Viridiplantae; Streptophyta; Magnoliopsida; Solanales; Solanaceae. The record is from RNAcentral.